AUUGAACGCUGGCGGCAUGCUUUACACAUGCAAGUCGGGCGGCAGCGCGGGGGCAACCCUGGCGGCGAGCGGCGAACGGGUGAGUAACACAUCGGAACGUGCCCAAUCGUGGGGGGAUAACGUAGCGAAAGCUACGCUAAUACCGCAUACGAUCUACGGAUGAAAGCGGGGGAUCGCAAGACCUCGCGCGAAUGGAGCGGCCGAUGGCAGAUUAGGUAGUUGGUGGGGUAAAGGCUCACCAAGCCGACGAUCUGUAGCUGGUCUGAGAGGACGACCAGCCACACUGGGACUGAGACACGGCCCAGACUCCUACGGGAGGCAGCAGUGGGAAUUUGGACAAUGGGCGCAAGCCUGAUCCAGCCAUUCCGCGUGCAGGAUGAAGGCC
This 385-nucleotide ribosomal RNA is filed under the name uncultured bacterium. Its description in RNAcentral is "bacterial SSU rRNA". It matches the Rfam family "Bacterial small subunit ribosomal RNA", at positions 29 to 416 of the family's 1533-position model. The record is from RNAcentral.